This 407-nucleotide ribosomal RNA is filed under the name uncultured bacterium. Its description in RNAcentral is "bacterial SSU rRNA". It matches the Rfam family "Bacterial small subunit ribosomal RNA", at positions 355 to 774 of the family's 1533-position model. The record is from RNAcentral. RNAcentral also lists the same sequence under 1 other name.
UGGGGAAUAUUGGACAAUGGGCGAAAGCCUGAUCCAGCAACGCCGCGUGAGGGAUGACGGCCUUCGGGUUGUAAACCUCUUUCAGCGGGGACGAAGCGAAAGUGACGGUACCCGCAGAAGAAGGACCGGCCAACUACGUGCCAGCAGCCGCGGUAAUACGUAGGGUCCGAGCGUUGUCCGGAAUUAUUGGGCGUAAAGGGCUCGUAGGCGGUUUGUCGCGUCGGGAGUGAAAACACGGGGCUUAACCCCGUGCCUGCUUCCGAUACGGGCAGACUAGAGGUAUGCAGGGGAGAACGGAAUUCCUGGUGUAGCGGUGAAAUGCGCAGAUAUCAGGAGGAACACCGGUGGCGAAGGCGGUUCUCUGGGCAUUACCUGACGCUGAGGAGCGAAAGUGUGGGGAGCGAACA